GCUGCUAUGCCCUGAGAGCUGCACUGAAGAGCACGAUUCUGGGAAUAUCAGAAGAUGUGUAUCUAAGGUGAACAAUACCUCUCCUCUCUCCAAGCUACAAACUAUUAAACAAAGUGUCAAUAAAAUGAUAACCAAGAAACCCAGACUUGGCUAGUGGAGGCUAGUGAUUGAUGCACCCAGAAAUUUAACCUAACAGCCAGGCCUGAAUAAGAGCAAGCAAAUCAAUCAAUCACCAAGAAAACAAGGAGAGAAAGGACAAGAUGAUUGUUUCAAAGCACCACAUCCAAGCAAAUCCUUCUGGCCACCAACAGUCAAAGCAACACGAGAAACGGUCAAGUUCACUUUCCUACUCUCACUAACCAAGUUGUAUGAAACAAAUACAC
Molecule: long non-coding RNA, 383 nt
Organism: Hemicordylus capensis (graceful crag lizard)
Lineage: Eukaryota; Metazoa; Chordata; Lepidosauria; Squamata; Cordylidae
Exons: 4
Source: RefSeq, a predicted model, not a curated record